Canis lupus familiaris (dog) is the source of this 1001-nucleotide long non-coding RNA. RefSeq lists it as uncharacterized. The record is from RefSeq and is a predicted model, not a curated record. NCBI's taxonomy places the organism in Eukaryota, Metazoa, Chordata, Mammalia, Carnivora, Canidae. The transcript is spliced from 7 exons.
CAUCUCAGCGCAGCCCAGGAAUCCCUGGGACCCAAGAGUAGAAUUUAUGGGCCAUGUGUUUUUUUCCUGCUGUGCCUUCUCUCAUCUAGGUUAUUUCCGAGAAAAUUCCUUUAAGAGCCCCUCUUCUGGCCCCAUUGAGACCUUACCAGAAAAAGGAAACAGGCUGGGAGACAGGCCAAGACAGCAUUCCACAUGGAUAGAGAGAAGACUCUUGAAUAUCCGGACCUUCACACCUGCCCUCUGCAGGCUGCUUUAUAGACCAUUCUUAUCACACUCCCCAAAUAUGGCAGCUCUGACCUGGUGAUGACUUCGAGGGUAUGCAGGGGAAAUGAAGCAGAAGAUGACAGCCGAUGGCAGACAGUCCCUGACAGGAUCCCCCCAUACCCCUGAGAGCUCCUUGGCCUCUAUGCUUUAUGACUAGUUUGGCGCACCUGAAGAAUGCCUUUGCUGCAGGGCCCUCAUACGGCAAUCGAAUCUGAACUAUUCGUUUUGCAGAGAAGGAAACUGAAGUCAAGAGAGCUCCUGGAAUACUGGGGUUGACAAUACAGCCAGUCAGAAGACUACCCUUCAUAGCCUCACUUCCUGGGACCAAUUGUUUCAACCAAUCUCCAGCAGCCACCUUGGAUCCUGAAGUCACCCUAAGGAUGGAAGCCAAGCACCCUCCGUGGUAGAGCACAAAGAUGGGCCUGAGUCCCCACGACUGCAGAGCCACAAUAGCAGCCUCCCUCCAGAUUCUUUCUACACAAGGAAGAGGUUAUAGCUGAAGCAGGAGUUAAGUUUUGGUCCUUGUGAAAGAGUAGUUCUUAACCUUGGCUGCACAUUUGACUUCUCUGAGGCUUUAAAAAAAAAAAAAUUCCCUGAGCUUUACUUCAGUCUGACUGAAUUAGAAUCUCUCGAGGUAGAGCCUGGGCCUCAGCAUUUUUAAAAGGAAAUAAAUAGGAAUUCUAAGAAAACUAAAAGACAAGCCACAAACUGGGAAAAAAUAUUUACAAAAUCACAUA